RNAcentral lists this ribosomal RNA (253 nucleotides) under uncultured bacterium. Its description in RNAcentral is "partial 16S ribosomal RNA". It matches the Rfam family "Bacterial small subunit ribosomal RNA", at positions 524 to 776 of the family's 1533-position model. The record is from RNAcentral.
UACGUAGGGUGCGAGCGUUAAUCGGAAUUACUGGGCGUAAAGCGUGCGCAGGCGGUUCGUUGCGUCGGCGGUGAAAGCCCCGGGCUUAACCUGGGAAUGGCCGUUGAAACUGGCGAACUGGAGUGUGGCAGAGGGGGGUGGAAUUCCGCGUGUAGCAGUGAAAUGCGUAGAGAUGCGGAGGAACACCGAUGGCGAAGGCAGCCCCCUGGGCUAACACUGACGCUCAGGCACGAAAGCGUGGGGAGCAAACAGG